Molecule: ribosomal RNA, 545 nt
Filed under: uncultured bacterium
Lineage: Bacteria
Description: bacterial SSU rRNA
Rfam family: Bacterial small subunit ribosomal RNA
Source: RNAcentral
ACUAAAUAGAUACCCCGGUAGUCCACGCCCUAAACGAUGUCUACUAGUUGUCGGGUCUUAAUUGACUUGGUAAACGCAGCUAAACGCGUGAAAGUAGACCGCCUGGGGAGUACGGUCGCAAGAUUAAAACUCAAAGGAAUUGACGGGGACCCGCACAAGCGGUGGAUGAUGUGGAUUAAUUCGAUGCAACGCGAAAAACCUUACCUACCCUUGACAUGGAUGGAAUCCCUGAGAGAUUGGGGAGUGCUCGAAAGAGAACCAUUACACAGGUGCUGCAUGGCUGUCGUCAGCUCGUGUCGUGAGAUGUUGGGUUAAGUCCCGCAACGAGCGCAACCCUUGUCAUUAGUUGCUACGAAAGGGCACUCUAAUGAGACUGCCGGUGACAAACCGGAGGAAGGUGGGGAUGACGUCAAGUCCUCAUGGCCCUUAUGGGUAGGGCUUCACACGUCAUACAAUGGUACAUACAGAGGGCCGCCAACCCGCGAGGGGGUAGCUAAUCCCAGAAAGUGUAUCGUAGUCCGGAUUGUAGUCUGCAACUCGACUGC